GUAAUUAGUACAACCUUUCCGGCAUUAUGGCAGGAUGUGUUGAUAUUUCUUGCUGGUCUUGUCGGAAGGUUUGCCAUGGCGAUAUUUGACGCGGGAAAAUUAUCCCAGGAUGCUCUGGCUACAGACAUGAGGGUUGCAGCGCUGGUGAUCGGACUUUCUCAACUGUGGACAGAGGUAGACAAGUCGAAGGAUGUCUCUUCUGGCCACCUCAACCCAAAGGUAGACAAGUCGAAGGAUGUCUUCUUCUGACCACCUCAACCCAAAGGUCGACAAGUCGAAGGAUGUCUUCUGACCACCUCAACCCAAAGGUAGACAAGUCGAAGGAUGUCUUGACCACCUCAACCUAAAGGUAGACAAGUCGAAGGAUGUCUUGUCAAGGUCACCUCGACCAAAAGGUAGACAAGUCGAAGGAUGUCUUCUUCUGACCACCUCAACCCAAAGGUUGACAAGUCCAAGGAUGUCUUCUCUUGGCCACCUCAAAGGUUGACAAGUCGAAGGAUGUCUUCUCCUGGCCACCUCAACCCAAAGGUAGACAAGUCGAAGGAUGUCUUCUCCUGGCCACCUCAACCCAAAGGUAGACAAGUCGAAGGAUGUCUUCUUCUGGCCACCUCAACCCAAAGGUAGACAAGUCGAAGGAUGUCUUGUCAAGGUCACCUCGACCAAAAGGUAGACAAGUCGAAGGAUGUCUUCUUCUGGCCACCUCAACCCAAAGGUUGACAAGUCGAAGGAUGUCUUCUCCUGGCCACCUCAACCCAAAGGUAGACAAGUCGAAGGAUGUCUUACCAAGGUCACCUCAACCCAAAGGUAGACAAGUCGAAGGAUGCCUUCUUCUGACCAUCUCAACCCAAAGGUAGACAAGUCGAAGGAUGUCUUUUGACCACCUCAACCCAAAGGUAGACAAGUCGAAGGAUGUCUUGUCAAGGUCACCUCAACCAAACGAUGACUGGAGGGAUGUCUUCUGAUCAUGACCUGACCUUGACCUUAAAAUUAAAGAAUUAUUUGGCAGGAAGAGAAAGUGGAUGAGAAUCGCCUUCCUGUGUUGCAGCAUAUGAACAGAAAGAAGAGCCAGCAAAGAUUUGACAAGACUUUCAACCAGAAUCUGAAAAAGCACAAAGUUCUGUCAAUCUGCUAUCUAUCGGAAUGAAUAAGUGUGCUUACUUCUUCCCCAACUUCCAAACUGAGACAAAAGUGGGUUAUUGUACAAAAAGCAAAAGACAUUGGCAGAGAGAAGAAGAAAAUAAAAAGGAAGAUAAUUCACUGCAAGUCAAAUGUUAAAGGUAAAGGAAAGGGCAAAGGCAAGUUGAAAGGUCAAUCAAAGAAGAAUGAAGGUAAGCCUUCUAAGUUAAUUAUUAGGCAUGUUAUUGAGCUAUCCGAGAGUAGCUCAAGUGAGAAUAACUAAAGGUACAGUUCAGCUGGUGUUGCUAUUCCGGUGAGGAGAGACGAUUCAGAAUAAUUUCUGUGUCUGGUAUCAGGAAGAUUUAGCUAAAGCAUCGAUGGAGAUAUCAAUGAGACUUUCGGACAGAAAGUGAAAUCUAAAGUUGACCACAUCAAGGGAGGAUUUGUAGGAUAGACUGAAAUCAGACAAAGGAAUGGAGAGGUAAACGGUCCUCCCAUCAGGUUGAUAAUGGAGUGUUUCCAAGAGAUUUACGGAAAUCAAAAACUAAAGCUCAAUCAAACUUUGUUGGGAUUAACAUCUCUGACAGAUUGAGUCAUAACUGAUAUGAAUAAACUGUGUGACCUGAUCUGUUUGUAUACAAGAAUUUUAGACCAAAUUAUGCUUGGUGUUUGUGUCUGGAUUGUUGUUGGACUGAGAUUUAUGAAAUUCUGUUGUUAUCUUAAUUAAAUAGGCUUUGUACUCGACCUAAAUUAUUCACCUGGAUGUAAUUAUUCAGGAAUGGGAUUUGUAUUGGACAUGUUCAGGUCAGACAAUUUAAAAUGUUUCAAUUCUGAAGUGUUUUGAUUUUGUUCACAAUAUUUUCAUCUCAAUCUGUCACAAAAAAAUUGUUGAAGAUAUUCAUUUUAGUUUGGCA
Pecten maximus is the source of this 2030-nucleotide long non-coding RNA. RefSeq lists it as uncharacterized. The record is from RefSeq and is a predicted model, not a curated record. The transcript has 5 exons. NCBI's taxonomy places the organism in Eukaryota, Metazoa, Mollusca, Bivalvia, Pectinida, Pectinidae.